This 468-nucleotide ribosomal RNA is filed under the name uncultured bacterium. Its description in RNAcentral is "partial 16S ribosomal RNA". It matches the Rfam family "Bacterial small subunit ribosomal RNA", at positions 28 to 507 of the family's 1533-position model. The record is from RNAcentral.
GACGAACGCUGGCGGCGUGCUUAACACAUGCAAGUCGAACGGAAAGGCCCUGCUUUUGUGGGGUGCUCGAGUGGCGAACGGGUGAGUGACACGUGAGUAACCUGCCCUUGACUUUGGGAUAACUUCAGGAAACUGGGGCUAAUACCGGAUAGGAGCUCCUGCUGCAUGGUGGGGGUUGGAAAGUUUCGGCGGUUGGGGAUGGACUCGCGGCUUAUCAGCUUGUUGGUGGGGGAGUGGCUUACCAAGGCUUUGACGGGUAGCCGGCCUGAGAGGGUGACCGGCCACAUUGGGACUGAGAUACGGCCCAGACUCCUACGGGAGGCAGCAGUGGGGAAUAUUGCACAAUGGGCGGAAGCCUGAUGCAGCAACGCCGCGUGCGGGAUGACGGCCUUCGGGUUGUAAACCGCUUUCGCCUGUGACGAAGCGUGAGUGACGGUAAUGGGUAAAGAAGCACCGGCUAACUACGUG